Molecule: unclassified non-coding RNA, 861 nt
Filed under: Hevea brasiliensis (rubber tree)
Lineage: Eukaryota; Viridiplantae; Streptophyta; Magnoliopsida; Malpighiales; Euphorbiaceae
Source: RNAcentral
ACACAAUGCAAGUAUUGAAUCUGUAAGGCAGGAAAUGCAGUCUUUGCAUCCAGAUGACUCGCAAAUUGUAGUUUUAAAGCACAAUGUUUGGCGUGUGAAGGGUAUUAUACAAAUCACAAGAUCCAUUGGUGAUGUGUACUUAAAGAAAGCUGAAUUCAACAGGGAACCGUUGUACGCUAAGUUUCGGCUCCGUGAAUCAUUUCAAAGGCCCAUAUUGAGCGCAGAUCCAGCUAUUUUGGUGCACCCGGUACAACCUCAGGAUCAGUUUAUUAUAUUUGCCUCGGAUGGUCUCUGGGAGCACCUAAGUAACCAAGAUGCUGUUGACAUUGUACAAAAUCACCCACGCAAUGGGAUUGCGAAAAGGCUAGUAAAAACUGCAUUGCAAGAAGCAGCAAAGAAAAGGGAGAUGAGGUACUCAGACUUGAAGAAAAUUGAUCGUGGAGUACGUCGACAUUUCCAUGAUGACAUCUCCGUUGUGGUAAUAUUCCUCGACUCAGAUUUUGCGAGCAGGGCUAGCUCUGGGAAGGUACCAAACGUAUCUGUAAAAGGUGGCGGGAUAAGUCUGCCUCGAAACACACUUGCCCCAACCUAAUCGUGGUGCGUGUGACUCGAUGAAGCUCUCUUUCAAAUGAUGUUGUACUAUUUUCUUGUGAAUACCAGGUAGCUUCUGAAAAGAUAACAGCAGGCCUGCAAUUUUAAUUUUCUUUUAAAAAAUUAAUGUACACCUUAGUUUAACUUGAGACUAAUACAAAUUUAGUUCCUAUGCUCAAGGGACUUGAAAAAAAGAGAUCUACACCAUUAGGCUUCUUUUGCUUCCUCUCAAACCUUUUUUCAUUUGGAUUUUGUAAAUUAUGUGACCUU